GUAACAGGAAGUGCUUGCACUUCGCUGACGACCGGCGCACGGGUGAGUAUCGCGUAUACAAUCUGCCUCAUACUAGGGAAUAGCCCGAAGAAAUUUGGAUUAAUGCCCUAUAGUAUCUUUUUAAGGCAUCUUAUUAAGAUUAAAGGUUACGGUAUGAGAUGAGUAUGCGUUCUAUUAGCUAGUAGGUGUGGUAACGGCACACCUAGGCUACGAUAGAUAGGGGCCCUGAGAGGGGGAUCCCCCACACUGGUACUGAGACACGGACCAGACUCCUACGGGAGGCAGCAGUAAGGAAUAUUGGUCAAUGGACGAAAGUCUGAACCAGCCAUGCCGCGUGCAGGAUGACUGCCCUAUGGGUUGUAAACUGCUUUUAUAUAGGAAGAAAAACUUUCUCGUGAGAAAGCUUGACGGUACUAUAAGAAUAAGGAUCGGCUAACUCCGUGCCAGCAGCCGCGGUAAUACGGAGGAUCCAAGCGUUAUCCGGAAUCAUUGGGUUUAAAGGGUCCGUAGGUGGACAAAUAAGUCAGAGGUGAAAUCCUGCAGCUCAACUGUAGAACUGCCUUUGAUACUGUUUGUCUUGAGUUAUUAUGAAGUGGUUAGAAUGUGUAGUGUAGCGGUGAAAUGCAUAGAUAUUACACAGAAUACCGAUUGCGAAGGCAGAUCACUAAUAAUUAACUGACACUGAUGGACGAAAGCGUGGGUAGCGAACAGGAUUAGAUACCCUGGUAGUCCACGCCGUAAACGAUGGUCACUAGCUGUUUGGACUUCGGCCUGAGUGGCUAAGCGAAAGUGAUAAGUGACCCACCUGGGGAGUACGUUCGCAAGAAUGAAACUCAAAGGAAUUGACGGGGGCCCGCACAAGCGGUGAGCAUGUGUUUAAUUCGAUGAUACGCGAGGAACCUUACCAGGGCUUAAAUGUUAGUGACAGAUCUAGGAUAGAUUUUUCUUCGGACACUUACAGUGCUGCAUGAUGUCGUCAGCUCGUGCGUGAGUGUCAGUAAGUCUAUACGAGCGCACCCUGUGUAGUGCAGCGAGUAUGUCGGACUCUAGCAGACUGCAGUGCAACUGUAGAGUGAUGACGUCAAUCAUACCGGCCCUACGUCUGGCUCAACCUGCUAAUGUAUGCCAUGGACGCCCUACGGGUAGAGGACUUAAACAAUUCAGUCGGAUCGGAGUCGCCCUCGACUCCUGGGACUGAAUCCUAAAUCGGUAUAAACACAUUCUCGGAAUAAAAUUUCUCGCCCCGA
RNAcentral lists this ribosomal RNA (1247 nucleotides) under uncultured Bacteroidota bacterium. RNAcentral describes it as "uncultured Bacteroidetes bacterium partial 16S ribosomal RNA". It matches the Rfam family "Bacterial small subunit ribosomal RNA", at positions 69 to 1365 of the family's 1533-position model. The record is from RNAcentral. Lineage: Bacteria; Pseudomonadati; Bacteroidota.